This 34-nucleotide transfer RNA is filed under the name Dioscorea tenuipes. RNAcentral's name for it is "partial tRNA-Phe". The record is from RNAcentral. Lineage: Eukaryota; Viridiplantae; Streptophyta; Magnoliopsida; Dioscoreales; Dioscoreaceae.
GAUGGUCGGGAUAGCUCAGUUGGUAGAGCAGAGG